Molecule: transfer RNA, 74 nt
Filed under: Sorghum bicolor (sorghum)
Lineage: Eukaryota; Viridiplantae; Streptophyta; Magnoliopsida; Poales; Poaceae
Rfam family: tRNA
About the family: Transfer RNA (tRNA) molecules are approximately 80 nucleotides in length.
Source: Rfam by way of RNAcentral
GGGGAUGUAGCUCAUUUGGUAGAGCACUAUGAAGAGCUUUCUAGAGGUACGGGGUUCAACUCCUCGCAUCUCCA